AACGAACGCUGGCGGCGCGCUUAACACAUGCAAGUCGAACGAGAAGGCGUAGCAAUACGCUUGUACAGUGGCGAACGGGUGAGUAAUACGUGGGCGACCUACCCUCGAGUGGGGAAUAACCCGCCGAAAGGCGGGCUAAUGCCGCGUACGCUUCCAUCUUUAUGGAGGUGGAAGGAAAGCCGUGCCGUGGGCACGGCGCUCAAGGAUGGGCUCACGUCCUAUCAGCUUGUUGGAGGGUAACGGCCUACCAAGGCUCCGACGGGUAGCUGGUCUGAGAGGACGAUCAGCCACACUGGCACUGCGACACGGGCCAGACUCCUACGGGAGGCAGCAGUGAGGAAUAUUGCGCAAAUGGGCGAAAGCCUGACGCAGCGACGCCGCGUGGGGGAU
Molecule: ribosomal RNA, 390 nt
Filed under: uncultured bacterium
Lineage: Bacteria
Description: bacterial SSU rRNA
Rfam family: Bacterial small subunit ribosomal RNA
Source: RNAcentral